RNAcentral lists this transfer RNA (73 nucleotides) under Anneissia japonica. Its description in RNAcentral is "tRNA-Lys". It matches the Rfam family "tRNA". Rfam says of the family: Transfer RNA (tRNA) molecules are approximately 80 nucleotides in length. Lineage: Eukaryota; Metazoa; Echinodermata; Crinoidea; Comatulida; Comatulidae. The record is from RNAcentral.
GCCCGGUUAGCUCAGUCGGUAGAGCAUCAGACUUUUAAUCUGGGGGUCAAGGGUUCAAGUCCCUUAUUGGGCG